This is a long non-coding RNA of Pseudoliparis swirei, 366 nucleotides long. RefSeq lists it as uncharacterized. The record is from RefSeq and is a predicted model, not a curated record. Lineage: Eukaryota; Metazoa; Chordata; Actinopteri; Perciformes; Liparidae. The transcript has 2 exons.
UUUGUCACUCCAAUAACUGCUGUGUAAGACCCCUCGUUGUAAUAUUACAACGUCACUUUUAUCUCUCUAAAAAACACAUUUGCAAAAACGUUUUUUGGGGAAAGACCAUAUUUACAUAGUCAAUGGGUCCUAUUGUCUUGCCUUGCAAUGCCAUUGGAUUGUAAAUGUGUAUAUAGGUGUGGCCAUAAGGCCAUGAACUCACUCUACCUGCAAACUUUCCCGGAAGCACAUCUCCUUGUUUCAUUCAACUGGUUAUAUCAACAUUGAAAAUGCCACCAGCAAGGAGAGCAAAUGCUGAAAUUCUGCUACCAACUAGGCCCAACGUUGCAAUAUUACAACGUUUCCCUAAAAACUUACAAAAACAUU